UACGUAGGGUGCAAGCGUUGUCCGGAAUUAUUGGGCGUAAAGAGCGUGUAGGCGGCCCGAUUAGUCCGCUGUGAAAGUCCAGGGCUCAACCCUGGAAUGCCGGUGGAUACUGUCGGGCUAGAGUCCGGAAGGGGCGAGUGGAAUUCCUGGUGUAGCGGUGAAAUGCGCAGAUAUCAGGAAGAACACCCGUGGCGAAGGCGGCUCUCUGGGACGUGACUGACGCUGAGACGCGAAAGCGUGGGGAGCGAACAGG
Molecule: ribosomal RNA, 253 nt
Filed under: uncultured bacterium
Lineage: Bacteria
Description: partial 16S ribosomal RNA
Rfam family: Bacterial small subunit ribosomal RNA
Source: RNAcentral